This 465-nucleotide ribosomal RNA is filed under the name uncultured bacterium. RNAcentral's name for it is "partial 16S ribosomal RNA". It matches the Rfam family "Bacterial small subunit ribosomal RNA", at positions 28 to 507 of the family's 1533-position model. The record is from RNAcentral.
GACGAACGCUGGCGGCGUGCUUAACACAUGCAAGUCGAACGGAAAGGCCCUGCUUGCAGGGUACUCGAGUGGCGAACGGGUGAGUAACACGUGGGUGAUCCGCCCUGCACUUCGGGAUAAGCCUGGGAAACUGGGUCUAAUACCGGAUAGGAGCCAUUUUUAGUGUGAUGGUUGGAAAGUUUUUUCGGUGUAGGAUGAGCUCGCGGCCUAUCAGCUUGUUGGUGGGGUAAUGGCCUACCAAGGCGGCGACGGGUAGCCGGCCUGAGAGGGUGGACGGCCACAUUGGGACUGAGAUACGGCCCAGACUCCUACGGGAGGCAGCAGUGGGGAAUAUUGCACAAUGGGCGCAAGCCUGAUGCAGCGACGCCGCGUGGGGGAUGACGGCCUUCGGGUUGUAAACUCCUUUCGCUAGGGACGAAGCUUCUUGUGACGGUACCUAGAUAAGAAGCACCGGCUAACUACGUG